This is an RNA transcript of Nylanderia fulva, 1893 nucleotides long. RefSeq lists it as uncharacterized. The record is from RefSeq and is a predicted model, not a curated record. Lineage: Eukaryota; Metazoa; Arthropoda; Insecta; Hymenoptera; Formicidae.
AAAAUAAUUCUUUCUAUCCAGUAGUGCACGAUCAACGAUACAAAGCAGAUAUCAUUAUAGCCACGUCGAGCGAAGAUUAUAAUUAUAAAAAGACAAUGGAGAUUGCUGAAGAAGAAAGUUGUUCAUCAUAUCCACCUUGUGUUCCUACCAAUAAAACAUCAAGGUAUUAUGAAUGGAUGUGGCAUUACUUUACAAUAUAUAACGGCGAAUUUACCAAAUGCAAUAUUUGUUUUGCUGUACUCAACCAUCAUAUAGAAAAAAGUUUAAUUUCACAUAUGAUAAAAAAACAUUUAGCAAUUUAUAAAAACUCAGAAACAAAAUGGACAUAUUCUAAAAUAGAUCACAAAUUCAAAUGCAAUUAUUGUGAUAAUACUUAUGAACCAGUAUAUAGAUAUGAUAAUAUGAUAUACCACAUAAACAACAUUCAUAAACUUAAUAAAGAAAUAACAAAUAAACUAAAAACCUGGGUGACUGACCAAUUAAUUAUUUCGGAUUGCGAAACUUGCAAACAAUUUAGUAAAUACCAUACCUUUAUAUUUAUGAUACAUUUAUGCGAAGUUCAUCAUGUCAUUGUACCUCAAGAAUUCAUACCACAGGGAUUAUCAAUUAGAUUAGAAAAUCUUUUUUAUCCUUGUAAAAAUGUUGAAAACAUUCCAACAUCAACCAGCAAUAAUCAUCGGCAGCCAUCUAUACUUAGAACUUACUUUAAGGAUUAUGAUCUGACUUUUUAUUCUUCCGAUUCAUAUGAAAAAGAGUGUCAUUCAAUGCCUUCAACUAAUGAAACAUCAAGGUCUCUUAAAUGGAUAUGGCAUUACUUUACAAUAUAUAACGGCGAAUUUACCAAAUGCGAUAUUUGUUUUGGUGUAUUCAAAAACGAUAUAAAACAACGUUUAAUGACACAUAUGAGAACAAAACAUUUUGCAAUUUAUAAUAACUCAGAAACAAAAUGGACACAUUCUAAAAUAGAUCACAGAUUCAAAUGCAAUUAUUGUUCUAGUACUUAUAAACCAGUAUAUGAAUUUGGUAACAUGAAAUCACACAUAAACAAAAGACAUAAACUUAAUAAAGAAAUAACAAAUAAACUAAAAACCUGGGUGACUGACCAAUUAAUUAUUUCGGAUUGCGAAACUUGCAAACAAUUUAGUAAAUACCAUACCUUUAUAUUUAUGAUACAUUUAUACGAAGUUCAUCAUGUCGAUGUACCUCAAGAAUUCAUACCACAGGGAUUAUCAUUUAGAUUAAACAAUCUUUUUGAUCCAUGUAAAAAUGUUGAAAACAUUCCAACAUCAACCAGCAAUAAUCAUCAGCAGCCAUCUAUACUUAGAACUUACUUUAAGAAUUAUGAUCCGAUUUUUAAUUCUUCCGAUACAUUUGAAUCACCAAAUAUUUUAGACAAUCUUUUAAGUUCUGGUGACAAUACUGCCACAUCAAGCACCUUUCAUCAGUCAAUUGUCAGUACUGACCUUACUGAUUCUGAGGAAUUUGAUAUAGAUUUAUAUCUUAUAAAAGAAGCAGAGAAGCAUGGACUAUAAAGGAGAAGAAAGUUAUUGAAUUGUUUCGCCUAAUAAGUAAUUAUUGGCAAUGCUUUCUCAAUAUAACGUAAAAUUAUGAUCGAAAUACUUCAGACAAUCUUUUAAUUUCUUGUAAAGCUACUGCAACAUCAAGCAGCAUAGCUAUUAUCAUUCAACCUGUAGUACCGAUCUUGCUGAUUCGGAGGAUUUUGAUGUCGAUUUGUGUGAUAAUUAUUGACAAAUGGAAAAGUUUUUUGAGUGUGAUGGAGAAGAAAGUUAUUCAAUUAUCCCGUUUGAUAAAUGUUAAUUAUUUAUACUCUUUUCUCGAUGUAAUAUAAAGCGAAAUAACAUGAAAUUAUAAUUAUAUGAACUAUUUUGCGAA